UGCAAGUCGAACGGAAGUAGCAAUACUUCAGUGGCGAACGGGUGAGUAACACGUAAGUAACCGACCUUAAAGACGAGGAUACCCCCUGGAAACGGGGGCUAAAACUGGAUAGGACGAGAGAUCAAAAGAACUUUCGUUUAAAGGUGCAACUGCACUGCUUUAAGCCGGGCUUGCGGCGCAUUAGCUAGUUGGUGAGAUAAUAGCCCACCAAGGCAACGAUGCGUAGCAGCGCUGAGAGGCGGAACUGCCACACUGGGACUGAGACACGGCCCAGACUCCUACGGGAGGCAGCAGUAGGGAAUUUUCGGCAAUGGGGGGAACCCUGACCGAGCAAUGCCGCGUGAAUGAUGAAGGUCUUCGGAUUGUAAAAUUCUGUCAAUGGGGAAGAAUGGUGUACGGAGUGGAAAGCCGUACACGUGACGGUACCCGUUUAGAAAGCCCCGGCUAACUAUGUGCCAGCAGCCGCGGUAAUACAUAGGGGGCAAGCGUUAUCCGGAUUUAUUGGGCGUAAAGAGUGCGUAGGUGGUUCGUUAGGUCAGGCGUAAAAGAUCACAGCUCAACUGUGUAGGGCGUUUGAAACCGGCGGACUUGAAUAUGGUAGAGGCAGGUGGAAUUCCACGUGUAGCAGUGAAAUGCGUAGAUAUGUGGAGGAACACCGAUGGCGA
This 665-nucleotide ribosomal RNA is filed under the name uncultured bacterium. RNAcentral describes it as "bacterial SSU rRNA". It matches the Rfam family "Bacterial small subunit ribosomal RNA", at positions 56 to 718 of the family's 1533-position model. The record is from RNAcentral.